GGGGAUUUAGCUCAGUGGUAGAGUGCUUGCCUAGUAAGCGAAAGGCCCUGGGUUCGGUCCCCAGCUCUG
Rattus norvegicus (Norway rat) is the source of this 69-nucleotide non-coding RNA. The record is from Rfam. Lineage: Eukaryota; Metazoa; Chordata; Mammalia; Rodentia; Muridae.